Small nucleolar RNA from Bufo bufo (common toad), 90 nucleotides. The record is from RefSeq and is a predicted model, not a curated record. Lineage: Eukaryota; Metazoa; Chordata; Amphibia; Anura; Bufonidae.
AUGUCCCAAUGAUGGCAGCACUGGGCUCUGAAACUGGUGAAAGAAACUGUGCCCCGCUGUGACUUGACAUGCAGUGGGUCUGAGGGACAG